CAAACUAUACUGGAUGAUAUUAGUAAGUAUUUUCCUACUCCUGAAGUGGGUUUGGUUCCUGAGACUAUUGAAGAUCAUGAUGAUGUAGUUCCACUAGGUAGUUCUGAUACUGAAGUUACUAGUAAUCCAUCAUCAUCUGAUUCAUCUCAAGGUUGUUGA
Molecule: long non-coding RNA, 159 nt
Organism: Amphimedon queenslandica
Lineage: Eukaryota; Metazoa; Porifera; Demospongiae; Haplosclerida; Niphatidae
Exons: 3
Source: RefSeq, a predicted model, not a curated record